ACAACGUGGUAUCAAAAAUUUUUUACAUUCACACAUCAAAAUCAGCUGUGAACAUCAGCAUGGCUGUUUCAAUAUCCACAAAAUAAAAUUGUUUUUGCUAUAAAAUCAUACAAUAAAAAAUAGAAAAGUGUAGUUAUAGUUGAGAAACCGUGUAAAAUAUUCAGUUGUAUCUUGGCGAGCUAUCGGUGUUGAUGUUGACUAAAAGUGUUGCGUCAUGACAGAAUAGCCCCUCACUGACAAAUAAAUACAAUAAAAAUUGCUCACGAGAGAUUACGGCAAACAGGGAGCAUUUCCAUUUCGCUCGUUUAACGUGUCUGUCUAGUAAUUCGCUAAUGUGAUAAAGUGUGCUAACAUUAAUAAAAUGAGCAGCGUCCGAUUAAGCUUUGUUUCCGUCGGAAGGAUUGCUGUUAGGAGAAAUUCGCAGUUGACAUCAGGUAGCGCACACACGUGCCGAGCGCUGCGGCGUUCGCUGCCGAGGCCGCUGAGCACGUGCGCCGUGCUCUGCAAGAGCCCCACCGAGCAGCCGCCGGGGCCUCCGCACGCCUCCAAAGAAGCCCCGGGAACAGGCUCAUCUUCCAGCGGCAAGAAGGGCGGCAGCGGCGUGCUCACGUGCCCCAAGUGCGGCGACCCGUGCACGCACGUUGAGACGUUCGUGAGCUCCACGCGCUUCGUCAAGUGCGACAAGUGCCACCACUUCUUCGUGGUGCUCAGCGAGGUCGACACCAAGAAGAGCAUCAAGGACAAUGCCGACAACAAAUCCGGCUUCUACAGAAAGCCGCCGCCGCCGCCGAAGAAGAUCUUCGAGUACCUCAACAAGCACGUGGUGGGGCAGGAGUACGCCAAGAAGGUGCUGUCGGUGGCCGUGUACAACCACUACAAGCGCAUCCACAACAACGUCACGGGCACCGACGCGCACCACCCGCUCCACCACACGCACAGAGAUCUCUUGCACCUGAGCCACAACCCGGCCAGCAGUGGGGGAACGGCCGGCGGCGCGGAAGUCCUUGAAAGGAACCAUCACGAGCUCAGGCUCGACAAGAGCAACGUGCUGUUACUGGGGCCCACCGGCAGCGGCAAGACGCUCCUGGCGCAGACCAUCGCGCAGUGCCUGGACGUGCCGUUCGCCAUCUGCGACUGCACCACGCUGACGCAGGCCGGCUACGUGGGCGAGGACAUCGAGAGCGUCAUCGCCAAGCUGCUGCAGGACGCCAACUACAACGUGGAGCGUGCACAGACAGGCAUCGUGUUUCUGGACGAGGUGGACAAAAUUGGGGCGGUGCCCGGAAUACAUCAACUAAGGGAUGUUGGUGGCGAGGGCGUGCAACAGGGCAUGCUGAAGAUGCUGGAGGGCGCGGUGGUGUCGGUGCCGGAGCGCAACUCGCGCAAGCUGCGGGGCGACGCCGUGCAAGUCGACACCACCAACAUCCUGUUCGUGGCCAGCGGCGCCUACAACGGCCUCGACAGGCUGAUCCAGCGGCGCAACAACGAGAAGUACCUCGGGUUCGGCGCGUGGGACCCCAAGUCGGGGCGGCGCGCGGCGCUGGCGGCGGCCGCGGCGGACGCGUCGCCGCUGGACAGCGCGCGCGCCGAGGCGGACGAGCGCGACCACUGGCUGCGCGCCGUGCAGGCACGGGACCUCAUCGACUUCGGCAUGAUCCCGGAGUUCGUGGGCCGCUUCCCGGUGCUGGUGCCGUUCCACAGCCUCAACCAGGACCUGCUCGUGCGGAUACUCACGGAGCCCAAGAACGCUAUUAUGGCCCAGUACAAGCUGCUGUUCGCGAUGGACAAGUGCGAGCUGUCGUUCAGCGACGAGGCGCUGCGGGCCGUGGCCUCGCUCGCCAUGGAGCGCAAGACGGGCGCCAGGGGCCUGCGCGCCAUCAUGGAGAACCUGCUGCUGGAGGUGAUGUUCGAGAUCCCCGGCUCCGACGUGGCGUGCGUGCACAUCCACGAGGGCUGCGUGGCGCGCGCCGAGCCGCCCGCCGUGCGGCGCCGCAGCCCCGAGCGCGAGCCCGCGCCGCAGCGCUGGCCCUCGGUGCGCCAAGCCAACUGAAGCGUUAGAAACCGCCGCCUUGUGGCCCCGCACUAACGGGUGCUCUAUAUGACACAGUGAUCUCAAGCCAGAGUCUGAGCCGUCUGUCAGUCAGUGCGCGCUGUGAGGUGCGAGUGUGGUGGCGAACGAACUAACACACACGUUACGAAUACCGGCGACCCCUACACUGUGAACGCAAGUCUUUAUACUGUAAAUUAAUAAUAGAAAAAAAAAUUGCAAGAAUGAAAAGUUAAAUAGUAAAAUAAAUUUUUUUUUUUUGUAAACCUGACUUUGUUUUGAAUUGUAGUUUUUGAAAGUUUGAUUGAUAUUUUAUUUUUUGGGUCCAACUAAAUGGAUUAUUGACUAAUAAUAUCGACACUAUCCUAAUCAGAUGUGAAAUUAUUUCGGCCGAUAUAACAACUGUUUCGUACUAAAUGUACUUGCAUUCCACUCAGUCGUAUUCAUAGACUACUUUUGAUAGCUGUUACUAGGCCCUGCCUUAGAAACGGCAUUGAAACCUUAUCAUUGACGUAACAAAGCAAAUUUCGUGUGUAUUUUAAUAUCUUAAUGCUAAGAUUUCAAAUUAAUCUUCUAAAACAUUUUUCUAAUUAGCACAAACACGGUUUAAUCUUCAGUAACCUGUAGCAUAUAAUGAUAUAAUACUUUGAGUACACAAUAUAUAAUUUGUAAGGAAGAAAUUAAACGAUUUUAUUGCUGUUCAUAUAAUGUCCAAAUUUUAUACCUAGUAAAUUGUAUAAAUUAAAGGACAAAAAAGCCAACUGUAAAUUGGUACCAAAAUAAAAAUUUUUUUGCAAACAAAAUAUAUGGUAAAAAAUUUAUGCACUGGUGACUGUCUGAACGUCGAAGAAUCAAGAAUUUAGAAUUUCAAUAAGCGAACCGUGGCCGACUGGGUUAAAAGUUAAUACCCACUGGGAUAUAUUAUCGGGUUCGAGGCCCACAAAUGUUAAUAUGUAUUUAAUAUUUAAAUAUAUAUAUAUAUAUAUUAGUUCGUGAGUUUUUAGUUCCUCUUUUAAAUUAUUCGUUCUUGUAAAAUUAAAUAGAAUAUAAUUUUAAAAAAACAAUGUUGUAAUGUCGUCCACCAUACAACUUAACUCUUGUGAUGUAAAUUACUGUAAAUAUAUAGAGAAAUAUAAACUAGAUUAAAUAAAUAGUUAAGAACGGUUAGAUUACGAUUUUUUUUAUGCCUUGAUAAGUUGUAAGUAAGUAUCAAAACAUAACAAAAAAAAGUUUGGCAACACAAUGGAGAAAGUUAUAUUUUGACAUUUUUCUUUUUAAUUUUAUUUUAAUCAACUUUUUUAUUUAAAAUAUUGUGUACAGUUGCAAUGUGAUUAUAGUAACUAAUAAGGUUUUCUUUUGUUUUUUGUAAUUUCUAGUUGAGUUAAAUUAGAAAGACAGAAAAUAAUCACUUUACAGCUAGAGUUAUAAUAGACUAAGCCUAUUUUCGAGAUAAAAUAUAAAGAAAACAACUCA
Pararge aegeria (speckled wood butterfly) is the source of this 3520-nucleotide RNA transcript. It is a transcript of the gene named ATP-dependent Clp protease ATP-binding subunit clpX-like, mitochondrial, with no coding region annotated. The transcript is spliced from 14 exons. NCBI's taxonomy places the organism in Eukaryota, Metazoa, Arthropoda, Insecta, Lepidoptera, Nymphalidae. The record is from RefSeq and is a predicted model, not a curated record.